Molecule: non-coding RNA, 809 nt
Organism: Chelonia mydas (Green sea turtle)
Lineage: Eukaryota; Metazoa; Chordata; Testudines; Cheloniidae
Source: the annotation of a RefSeq genome assembly
AAACACACCAAUGAGAUGAUUCGGCUCUGUUCUUGCCCUGAGUAUUUUCCUACCAGCCAGCAACCUCCUCCCCCAAACUCUGCCCCUCAACCGCUCCCAUCUCGUGACAGCGCCAUCCCGAAGCAUUUACAGAGCACAGAAGGUGAAGUUAGGUCAAUGUUAUUCAGCUAUAUCGCAGCUACAACACAGAGAUACCGGGUACAUUUCUAGAGGCACCUUCAUGGGUAUAACAUUCUCACCUUCUCUAAACUGAAGCAACCAGACACGAAUAUGCAAAUUGUUAUUGGUUUCGGAAUUAGCUCUGUUUCGUCGAAGAAUCUUUCAGUCCAGGCAUGACUCUACCUUGGCUCUCAGCUGUGAUAAUCGUGUCUGUUCUAAAGGGCACCUAUGGAGCAGACUCGGUGACCCAACCUGCAGGCAGCGUUACCAUCUCCCAAGGGGACCCGGUGCGUCUGAACUGUACCUAUCAAUUUUCUGUCGCUGCUAACGUCGAUCCCUUCUGGUACGUGCAGUCCCCCAGCCAGCCCCCCAGGCUCUUCCUCAGGGACCUGGGAAGGGAGGACUCGGAUGAAGGGAUCAGAAAAGGGUUCGAUGCCACCCACGAUAAAAAGCUCAAAUCCUUCCACCUGUGGAAACCGUCCAGCGACUCGAGCGACUCCGCGACCUAUUACUGCGCCGUGAGAGACACAGUGACACGGAGCAGCGGGGGAGCUGAGCAAAAACCGCGCAGGCUCUCUGUGUUUUGCUGCUUUGCCCUAACCCGGAGCGUUGCCAUCUCAGAAAUGGCGGUGAAUGUCAUGAAUCCCUAA